AACAUGUCUUUUUGAAUAAAUAAUAUAAAGUYGAAUYUGCUCCAUGAUUUAAAAAUUAAAUAGCUGCAGUAUUUUGACUGUACAAAGGUAGCAUAAUCAAUAGUUUUUUAAUUAAAAGCUGGAAUGAAUGAUUUGAUAAGGGAAAUAUUGUCUCAAAUUUAGUGUAGUUAGAAUUUUUUUUUUAGUAAAAAUACUAAACUUAUUUUUAAAGACGAGAAGACCCUUUAGAGUUUAAUAUAAAUUAUAUUUUUAGAUUUAUAAAUUAUUAAAUAAAAAAUAAUAAAAAUAUUUGAUUGGGGAAAUUAUUAAAUUAAAAAAAUUUUAAUAUAUAGAAAACAUUAAUAUAUGAAUUUUUGAUCCAAAAUUUUUGAUUAAUAGAAAAAAUUACCUAAGGGAUAACAGCGUUAUUUUCUUAGAGAGUUCACAUUAAUAAGAAAGUUUGCGACCUCGAUGUUGAAUUAAGAUAAAAUUUUAAUGUAGAAGUUAAAAAUUUUUGGUCUGUUCGACCAUUAAAAUCUUACGUGAUCUGAGUUCA
RNAcentral lists this ribosomal RNA (535 nucleotides) under Eurycryptus sp. n. 2 BFS-2018. Its description in RNAcentral is "partial 16S large subunit ribosomal RNA". The stretch from base 395 to 535 matches the Rfam family "Bacterial large subunit ribosomal RNA", at positions 2473 to 2613 of the family's 2925-position model. Lineage: Eukaryota; Metazoa; Arthropoda; Insecta; Hymenoptera; Ichneumonidae. The record is from RNAcentral.